GACAGAGGGUGCAACCGUUGUUCGGAAUUACUGGGCGUAAAGCGCGUGUAGGCGGCUCUGCAAGUCGGGUGUGAAAUCCCAUGGCUCAACCAUGGAAGUGCACUCGAAACUGCAGGGCUAGAGUCCUGGAGAGGAAGGUGGAAUGCUUGGUGUAGAGGUGAAAUUCGUAGAUAUCAAGCGGAACACCGGUGGCGAAGGCGGCCUUCUGGACAGUGACUGACGCUGAGACGCGAAAGCGUGGGGAGCAAACAGG
This 253-nucleotide ribosomal RNA is filed under the name uncultured bacterium. Its description in RNAcentral is "partial 16S ribosomal RNA". It matches the Rfam family "Bacterial small subunit ribosomal RNA", at positions 524 to 776 of the family's 1533-position model. The record is from RNAcentral.